This 447-nucleotide ribosomal RNA is filed under the name uncultured bacterium. Its description in RNAcentral is "partial 16S ribosomal RNA". It matches the Rfam family "Bacterial small subunit ribosomal RNA", at positions 29 to 523 of the family's 1533-position model. The record is from RNAcentral.
AACGAACGCUGGCGGCAGGCUUAACACAUGCAAGUCGAGCGCCCCGCAAGGGGAGCGGCAGACGGGUGAGUAACGCGUGGGAAUCUACCCAUCACUACGGAAUAACGCAUGGAAACGUGUGCUAAUACCGUAUACGUCCUUCGGGAGAAAGAUUUAUCGGAGAUGGAUGAGCCCGCGUUGGAUUAGCUAGUUGGUGGGGUAAAGGCCUACCAAGGCGACGAUCCAUAGCUGGUCUGAGAGGAUGAUCAGCCACACUGGGACUGAGACACGGCCCAGACUCCUACGGGAGGCAGCAGUGGGGAAUAUUGGACAAUGGGCGCAAGCCUGAUCCAGCCAUGCCGCGUGAGUGAUGAAGGCCCUAGGGUUGUAAAGCUCUUUCACCGGUGAAGAUAAUGACGGUAACCGGAGAAGAAGCCCCGGCUAACUUCGUGCCAGCAGCCGCAGUAA